AUUGAACGCCGGCGGCAUGCCUUACACAUGCAAGUCGAACGGUAACAGGUCUUCGGAUGCAGACGAGUGGCGAACGGGUGAGUAAUACAUCGGAACGUGCCUAGUAGUGGGGGAUAACUACUCGAAAGAGUGGCUAAUACCGCAUGAGAUCUACGGAUGAAAGCAGGGGAUCGCAAGACCUGUUGCUACUAGAGCGGCCGAUGGCAGACUAGGUAGUUGGUGGGAUAAAAGCUUACCAAGCCGACGAUCUGUAGCUGGUCUGAGAGGACGAUCAGCCACACUGGGACUGAGAAACGGCCCAGACUCCUACGGGAGGCAGCAGUGGGGAAUUUUGGACAAUGGGCGCAAGCCUGAUCCAGCAAUGCCGCGUGCAGGAUGAAGGCCUUCGGGUUGUAAACUGCUUUUGUACGGAACGAAAAGCCCCGGGUUAAUACCCUGGGGUCAUGACGGUACCGUAAGAAUAAGCACCGGCUAACUACGUGCCAGCCGCCGCCGUAA
This 498-nucleotide ribosomal RNA is filed under the name uncultured bacterium. RNAcentral's name for it is "partial 16S ribosomal RNA". It matches the Rfam family "Bacterial small subunit ribosomal RNA", at positions 30 to 523 of the family's 1533-position model. The record is from RNAcentral.